UACGUAGGGCGCAAGCGUUGUCCGGAAUUAUUGGGCGUAAAGAGCUCGUAGGCGGCUUGUCACGUCGGAUGUGAAAGCCCGGGGCUUAACCCCGGGUCUGCAUUCGAUACGGGCUAGCUAGAGUGUGGUAGGGGAGAUCGGAAUUCCUGGUGUAGCGGUGAAAUGCGUAGAUAUCGUUUGGAACGCCAAAGGUGAAAACAGACAGCUGGGAGUGUGCUGACGCUGAGACACGAAAGCCAGGGGAGCGAACGGG
This 253-nucleotide ribosomal RNA is filed under the name uncultured bacterium. RNAcentral's name for it is "partial 16S ribosomal RNA". It matches the Rfam family "Bacterial small subunit ribosomal RNA", at positions 524 to 776 of the family's 1533-position model. The record is from RNAcentral.